Molecule: long non-coding RNA, 677 nt
Filed under: Androctonus crassicauda
Lineage: Eukaryota; Metazoa; Arthropoda; Arachnida; Scorpiones; Buthidae
Source: RNAcentral
GCUUAGAUAUGAUGAACCUUAAGAAUGCGAUUCGUACCAGUCAUAUAAAAAAAGCUGAAAUGGAUAUUUCGAAAACAACUAUGACGAAACGAUACCCGUUGCAAAAUGGCACUAGACAAAGUCGCUAUAAUAAUAGGGGACCUACAAGUACCGGAUUACGUCCGCAGAUUCCUAGAAAAAGGCCCAUCCUGCGCGAUAGAGAGACUCAACAGCAUGGAAGACCUCAUCCCACCAUUUGAAAGGCUAAUUACGGGCAUGUCUGACCUGGAGAAGGAAAGAUUCAGAUACUUACAAUUAACUUAUAAUUACAUAAAUUUAAGUUAAACUACUUAAUAUUAAAGAGAAUCAAAUAUCUAUGGGAAAAUAUAUAUACUCUGAUUGCUAUUAGUACUAAGAUUGGAAAUUUUGUAUAACUAUGAAAAAUUCAAGAAAACAAAAAAGUUAGAAAAAAAACCUAAAUAGUAUAUAUUUUCAGAACCCCCUACAACAAGAAGAAUACAAAAAUAUGUAACAGUGCUAGUAAAUAUUCAAACCAGAGCUUAAAACAGAGUUAGUGCAAAACAGUUUGCACUGUGAUCCUAAUUAAAUUCUAGCCUGAUUUGUUCUAGAAUAUUCUAUUUACAAAAUUUUGAAUUACCCCAACAAUUUAUAUAUUUUCAGAUACCUUAUGAAAUGCA